AUUGAACGCUGGCGGCAGGCCUAACACAUGCAAGUCGAGCGAGCGGCGGACGGGUGAGUACUGUCUGGGAAACUGCCUGAUGGAGGGGGAUAACUACUGGAAACGGUAGCUAAUACCGCAUACCAUCAGAUGUGCCCAGAUGGGAGUAGCUAGUAGGUGGGGUAACGGCUCACCUAGGCUACGAUCCCUAGCUGGUCUGAGAGGCUGACCAGCAACACUGGAACGGAGACACGGUCCAGACGCCUACGGGAGGCAGCAGUGGGGAAUAUUGCACAAUGGGCGAAAGCCUGAUGCAGCCAGGCCGCGUGUGUGAAGAAGGCCUUCGGGUUGUAAAGCACUUUCAGCGGGGAGGCGUUACCCGCAGAAGAAGCACCGGCUAACUCCGUGCCAGCAGCCGCGGUAAUUC
Molecule: ribosomal RNA, 406 nt
Filed under: uncultured bacterium
Lineage: Bacteria
Description: partial 16S ribosomal RNA
Rfam family: Bacterial small subunit ribosomal RNA
Source: RNAcentral